UACGGAGGGCGCGAGCGUUAUCCGGAUUUACUGGGUGUAAAGGGAGCGUAGACGGCUGUGCAAGUCUGAAGUGAAAGCCCAGGGCUCAACCCUGGGACUGCUUUGGAAACUGUGAAGCUGGAGUGCAGGAGAGGUAAGCGGAAUACCUGGUGUAGCGGUGAAAUGCGUAGAUAUCAGGAGGAACACCGGCGGCGAAGGCGGCUUACUGGACUGUAACUGACGUUGAGGCUCGAAGGCGUGGGGAGCAAACAGG
This 253-nucleotide ribosomal RNA is filed under the name uncultured Eubacteriales bacterium. RNAcentral describes it as "uncultured Clostridiales bacterium partial 16S ribosomal RNA". It matches the Rfam family "Bacterial small subunit ribosomal RNA", at positions 524 to 776 of the family's 1533-position model. Lineage: Bacteria; Bacillati; Bacillota; Clostridia; Eubacteriales. The record is from RNAcentral.